Molecule: long non-coding RNA, 1429 nt
Filed under: Sus scrofa (pig)
Lineage: Eukaryota; Metazoa; Chordata; Mammalia; Artiodactyla; Suidae
Description: lncRNA (ENSSSCG00050009767.1)
Source: RNAcentral
GGGGCACCUGCACCUCGGCAGGAUGUGGGGUCAGAGCGGAGGGGGCCUGGUUCCUGAAUAAGAAGCAGCCCAGGUCCACGAGGGAGGGCCAUGGGAGAGGUUGCCGAGAGCAGGGCUGGCAACCUGUUGGGUCCCUGGCAGACCCUGGGAAAAUCCUCCGGUCACAGGCCACAGCCGCAUCCACAGAGUGAAAACAUGCUACCGUCCCCGUUCCGCCUGCAAACCGUGCACCUUGCUCCGCAGCGGGCACUGGGCUUUGCGGAGCAGAAACAUCGCUGGUCCGGGCCCAUCCUGCAUUCCAGCCUCCUGUACUGGGGGCUCCCAUUAGCCCCGCUCCGCUCCCUGCCAGACUCCCCACCGAGCUUUUGGGCUUUUGUCAGCUCGAGACAGCCCUUGAAAACCGUGCAAGCUGAGGGGGUGUGUGUCUAAUAAAGUUCAAGCUCUGUAAUUUCGCAAUUACUGUAACCCACACGUGUAAUUUAGGGGGUUUCUCGUAAUUCUUCUUUGUACUGUCUCUUUUAAAAAGCAGGCGGCUUGAAGAGUUUUCUCUUGAACGCCCCCAACGCAGGCUGGCGUUUGCCACCCCCGCCCCCGGUCAGCUGCAGAGCACACAAAUGUGGGCAGAUGGGGUUUGGGCUGCUUUUCGGGGACUCAAAAGGUUAAUUGAAUGUUCGGCAGCCCCCAAAGGAAGCCCAGCUUCCUCUCUGUGACCCCAGGCCUCCGAAGCUCUGAAUUCAUCUGGGUGGAUCACGGGUGUAGACAGAAGUUUGAUGAAAGGUGUAAUCUACUCUCGGCCCCGGGUUCCAGCCUUAAGCAAGGCUCCUCGCUGCUCCCCGCAGCACCGUGCCCACUUCUGUGCCUCUGUCUUCAUUUAUGUGAUUAGCUGUUUAUUUCAGAAAUAUGGGGGGGGGUCCACUCCACACUCCUCUGGGGAACCUAGGUCACAAAAGAUGGGGCUUUGUGGCCCUGGGGCAGGGCUGGGGGUGAUGACCACAGCUCCACAGGGCUGGCGGAGGGGGCUCCCUCCAGCCUCCCUCUGGUCCUCGGUCCUCCAGUGCGUGUAGCCCCCCAGACAGCAGGGCAGGUUGGGACCCUGAUUUCAGGGCUCAGCCUUCUCCCUCACUUCCAGGCUCUCCCUGGGGAAUUUCUGCCUGGCUUCUGCUUGUCCCCGCUCAGAAGGUAGCCUUGAGCUUAAAAAGCUGCAGGGUUUUCCCCUUGACCUGAACUCCCCUGCCCCCGAUGCAGCUGGGCUCCUGACCUCCUGGAGUGGGGAGCAGCCCCAGGUUAAGACCCCAGCCCCGGCUCAUCUCACCUGAGCAAACAGCUUUCCAGGAACAAGAGCUUCUCAGCUUGUUGUCUGCCUUUGGCUGAAUUCCAAGACCCGCAAAAAGUUGAUUUUUGUCACUUUUGUCCCGUUUAAAACUUAUAG